RNAcentral lists this long non-coding RNA (1103 nucleotides) under Malus domestica (apple). RNAcentral describes it as "long non-coding RNA (MDOM_LNC014793)". Lineage: Eukaryota; Viridiplantae; Streptophyta; Magnoliopsida; Rosales; Rosaceae. The record is from RNAcentral.
CACUGCCGACAUGCUACAUAGUCGAUAAGCUUCAGCUCUGCCAAGCGCGGAACAACCUACACCAAGUCCUAAAGUGUUGUGAUACUUGCUACGCAACCUAUGGAAUUGAAGAAAGUCAAGGUUAACAGCCUAGUGGUUACGCGGACUUGUCUGCUUCUGUAAGUAAGGCAUUCGGCUGCCAACCCUAUGGCUAACAACUUUGCAAAGUUCUACACCAACACAUACGGCUGCAUAGGCUACGCGAGCUUGUCUGCUUAUAAAAAAGUAGCAUGCCUGCCACUUGUCUAUCAAGUCUAAAGGUUAGGGCAUGAACAAAAGAAGUGAAGAUGAAGAAAAACGAAGGAAAACAUGUUUAUAAACAACUAGCAAAGGCCGAAGGAGUUCAAGCAAAACAAGAGCUACAAGGAAAAACAAAGAAAAUCCUAAAGGUUACCUAAAAUACUACACUACAGCAGCUUGGACAUCCCAUGACUACUCGGUCGCCACACCUUCAAUAGUCGUAACACUCUUAGCAGUGGCAUCAUCUGGCGCUUCACCCUCGGCUGCCUCAGCCUGGGCACUAACUUUCUCCAACUACUUCACCAAUGGAAGCCUUAAAAGUAAAAGCAAGCAAGUCUUCCGAAGAAAUAGAGAAGGUCUUAAAACCUCAAGCCCAUCAUUCUCACCCUUCAGCUGCUCAUUCUUCUUAAGCAGACUAGCACGGACGCGCUGCAGCUUGUUGAUGCACAAAAUCAGCGAAGACUUUGGUACAAUAGAAAGUGUCAGGUUUUGUGACCUUCGCUUGGUUGCUUCGGUCACUAGUGAGGAUAAGUACGUAAAUGAAUAGAGACAGAGAAGCAAACACAUGAUGUACGUGGUUCACCCAGAUUGGCUACGUCCACGGAGUAGAGGAGUUCUUAUUAGUAGUGAAGGGCUUACACAAGUACAAAGGAUCAAACUCUCAAUUUAGUGAGUUCUUGUGAAUGAUUUAACACAAAUGGCAUUCGCCAAUAUUGUGGGGGAAUGACCCCUAUUUAUAGAAAAACUUGUAGCUUUGUCACAUUGACAUGUGUCAUGUUAUGAUUGGUUCUUGAUGUCGACACGUGCUCCGCUCUGAUUGGCUU